UACAGAGACUGCAAGCGUUAUUCGGAUUCACUGGGCGUAAAGGGUGCGCAGGCGGCCAUGUGUGUGAGGCGUGAAAGCCCGGGGCUUAACCCCGGAAUUGCACCUCAAACUACAUGGCUAGAGCAUUGGAGAGGGUAGCGGAAUUCACGGUGUAGCAGUGAAAUGCGUAGAUAUCGUGAGGAACACCAGAGGCGAAGGCGGCUACCUGGACAAUUGCUGACGCUCAGGCACGAAAGCGUGGGGAGCAAAAGGG
RNAcentral lists this ribosomal RNA (253 nucleotides) under uncultured bacterium. RNAcentral describes it as "partial 16S ribosomal RNA". It matches the Rfam family "Bacterial small subunit ribosomal RNA", at positions 524 to 776 of the family's 1533-position model. The record is from RNAcentral.